RNAcentral lists this ribosomal RNA (400 nucleotides) under uncultured bacterium. Its description in RNAcentral is "bacterial SSU rRNA". It matches the Rfam family "Bacterial small subunit ribosomal RNA", at positions 356 to 773 of the family's 1533-position model. The record is from RNAcentral.
GGGGAAUAUUGGACAAUGGGCGCAAGCCUGAUCCAGCCAUGCCGCGUGAGUGAUGAAGGCCCUAGGGUUGUAAAGCUCUUUCGCCAGGGACGAUAAUGACGGUACCUGGAUAAGAAGCCCCGGCUAACUUCGUGCCAGCAGCCGCGGUAAUACGAAGGGGGCUAGCGUUGUUCGGAAUCACUGGGCGUAAAGCGCACGUAGGCGGAUCUUUAAGUCAGGGGUGAAAUCCCGAGGCUCAACCUCGGAACUGCCUUUGAUACUGGGGAUCUCGAGUCCGGGAGAGGUGAGUGGAACUGCGAGUGUAGAGGUGAAAUUCGUAGAUAUUCGCAAGAACACCAGUGGCGAAGGCGGCUCACUGGCCCGGAACUGACGCUGAGGUGCGAAAGCGUGGGGAGCAAAC